AACGAACGCUGGCGGCAUGCCUAACACAUGCAAGUCGAACGAAGCCUUCGGGCUUAGUGGCGCACGGGUGCGUAACGCGUGGGAAUCUGCCCUUUGGUUCGGAAUAACAGUUGGAAACGACUGCUAAUACCGGAUGAUGACGAAAGUCCAAAGAUUUAUCGCCAGAGGAUGAGCCCGCGUAGGAUUAGCUAGUUGGUGUGGUAAAGGCGCACCAAGGCGACGAUCCUUAGCUGGUCUGAGAGGAUGAUCAGCCACACUGGGACUGAGACACGGCCCAGAAUCCUCCGGGAGGCAGCAGUGGGGAAUAUUGGACAAUGGGCGAAAGCCUGAUCCAGCAAUGCCGCGUGAGUGAUGAAGGCCCUAGGGUUGUAAAGCUCUUUUACCCGGGAUGAUAAUGACAGUACCGGGAGAAUAAGCCCCGGCUAACUCCGUGCCAGCAGCCGCCGUAA
This 449-nucleotide ribosomal RNA is filed under the name uncultured bacterium. RNAcentral's name for it is "partial 16S ribosomal RNA". It matches the Rfam family "Bacterial small subunit ribosomal RNA", at positions 29 to 523 of the family's 1533-position model. The record is from RNAcentral.